UAGUGAUUAACGCGAAGAACCUUACCUGGGCUAGACAACGGCGGACCGUCCUAGAAAUAGGACUUUCCCUUCGGGGACCGCCGGUUCAGGUGCUGCAUGGCUGUCGUCAGCUCGUGCCGUGAGGUGUUGGGUUAAGUCCCGCAACGAGCGCAACCCUCGUCCUUAGUUGCCACCAUUCAGUUGGGCACUCUAGGGAGACUGCCGGCGUUAAGCCGGAGGAAGGUGGGGACGACGUCAAGUCAUCAUGGCCCUUAUGUCCAGGGCCACACACGUGCUACAAUGGGCGGUACAAAGGGUCGCAAACCCGCGAGGGGGAGCCAAUCCCAAAAAGCCGCUCUCAGUUCGGAUUGGAGUCUGCAACUCGACUCCAUGAAGCUGGAAUCGCUAGUAAUCGCGGAUCAGCACGCCGCGGUGAAUACGUUCCCGGGCCUUGUCACACCGAAUCGAAUUC
RNAcentral lists this ribosomal RNA (451 nucleotides) under uncultured soil bacterium. RNAcentral describes it as "bacterial SSU rRNA". It matches the Rfam family "Bacterial small subunit ribosomal RNA", at positions 951 to 1384 of the family's 1533-position model. The record is from RNAcentral.